CUCAGUACCCGAUUGUCAGCAGUACCCGAUCCGUGCCGCCUGUCCAAUCUGUUUUGCGCAUGCGCAUAAUUGUGCGCAUGCGCAGAAGCUCAACUUGUUUUACGACAGUUUACGACCCUACCUGAUCUGUUCUACGCAUGCGCGACAACCGGCAGUUUAAAAAUAGUGAAGAAAUGCGUCAUAUAAGAACACCGGCGAACAUAUGGAGGCUAAGUCAUUCGUAUAAAGGACCAACAUGGACCAGUAUUUAUUUCAUGCUGCCCUUCGGCAGUACCUACUGAGCGGGAUGUUGAUGUUGCGGUUGACUGGAAGAGAGUCAUGCGGGUGGCCAACCACUUCGUUGUAGAUGGUUUGUCCAUGCUGAUGGCUAUGCAGCAUAGUUGAAGCAGACCUGUCAGAAAACUUCUCUAAGGUGCUAUGAAUCAUAUGACUAGAUACACAUCCUAAAAUUACUAGAGGUUACGGAAGCUCCUUUUUGGAUCCAGCUUCAUUUGUGAAGACUUCAGAUGAUGCCAACACUCACAGAGGCUUAAGACGAUGGCAACAAUAGAUGGACAUACAAAAUUGCCAAAUAUAAUAUUGUAAUUACUGCCCCAAAGCGCAUGUUUGCCGAUUUUUAACCCACUUUACAUUGUUACAAAUACAAUAGAUGCUAACAUUUGAACAGAAAAUGUUUCCUCUUUAUUCUUGAGUUAAUUGUGCUGAUUUAUUCCCAUUUUUUUAUCCACAAUUCUUUGCCAAAAUGAUGUUUUGCAUCAUCCAAAUGGUUCAUUUUUAAAUUACAGACAUUGUAACAACACAAAGUGGGUUGAAAUUCUGCCAACUUACCCUAUAAUAAUAAUUGUCUUUUAACUGAACAGGACUUUAAACACAUGACUUGUAUUAACUUAGAGCUAUUGUGAAAUUAAUAUUGUUUUGUUUCCAGAACAUUCUCCUCAGUGAGUCACUGUUACCUCAGACUGAUUAAGGGAUUUUUUUGUAACCUUGAAACAUGCAUUGGUUUUAUUAUGGUAAAACUGCAUAUCUUAUUUCAAACCAAGGUUUUGUAACCAUGGUUCUACUUCAGUAACAUUAUAGUAAUGCUGGAGUGAAACUGUGGUAACCAUAUUAUUUUAAAUCAUGGUAAAGUUUGUGGUUACUAAAAUGCACUUCUAUAUGCUGUUGUAAGAGCAUGAUUUUUAUUUAUUUAUUAAUAAACCAUGGUUGAUUUUAUUUUUACUGUGGUUUUACUGCAAAUUAUGGUAAAAAAAAAUUAUAGAUAACUUUUGCAUGGGUACAGAAAAAAAGUGUAAACUGAAAGUCACGUUGGUUAAAUGCAUCUGAUAAAUGUAAAUGGAUUUGUAUAUUUAUUCUGUUUACUGAAAAUAAUACAUUUGCAGUUGCUAUUG
This is a non-coding RNA of Misgurnus anguillicaudatus (oriental weatherfish), 1388 nucleotides long. NCBI's taxonomy places the organism in Eukaryota, Metazoa, Chordata, Actinopteri, Cypriniformes, Cobitidae. The record is from RefSeq and is a predicted model, not a curated record.